GCAUAUCAAUAAGCGGAGGAAAAGAAACCAACAGGGAUUGCCUCAGUAACGGCGAGUGAAGCGGCAACAGCUCAAAUUUGAAAUCUGGCCGCAAGGUCCGAGUUGUAAUUUGUAGAGGAUGCUUUUGGCGAGGUGACUUCCGAGUUCCCUGGAACGGGACGCCAUAGAGGGUGAGAGCCCCGUACGGUCGUGCCACCGAGCCUCUGUAAAGCUCCUUCGACGAGUCGAGUAGUUUGGGAAUGCUGCUCUAAAUGGGAGGUGUACGUCUUCUAAAGCUAAAUACCGGCCAGAGACCGAUAGCGCACAAGUAGAGUGAUCGAAAGAUGAAAAGCACUUUGAAAAGAGGGUUAAAAAGUACGUGAAAUUGUUGAAAGGGAAGCAUUCAUGACCAGACUUGGGCUUGGUUGAACAUCCGGCGUUCUCGCCGGUGCACUCUGCCAGCUCAGGCCAGCAUCAGUUUGCCCCGGGGGAUAAAGGCGGUGGGAAUGUAGCUCCCUUCGGGGAGUGUUAUAGCCCGCCGUGUAAUGCCCUGGGGUGGACUGAGGUUCGCGCUUCGGCACGGAUGCUGGCGUAAUGGUCAUCAAUGACCCGUCUUGAAACACGGACC
RNAcentral lists this ribosomal RNA (607 nucleotides) under Sarocladium glaucum. Its description in RNAcentral is "eukaryotic LSU rRNA". It matches the Rfam family "Eukaryotic large subunit ribosomal RNA", at positions 38 to 667 of the family's 3401-position model. The record is from RNAcentral. Lineage: Eukaryota; Fungi; Ascomycota; Sordariomycetes; Hypocreales; Sarocladiaceae.